UGAAGAUUAAAGCACCUUGCUCCAACCAGAGAGCAGAUGGGAGAGGCACAGAGGCAAGAAAAUUGCUUAAAUAUCAAUUCAUUAUCCUAUUCUUGAGCUGAGUGUUUGCAACAUAAUGCAAGUGCUCCAGCUGAGGUGAACAGAGAAGACCGAGAAGCAGAGACAACCUAGGGAAGCCGUACAUGCCUAAAGAGAGAUGGGUUCAGAAAUAACACUGCAGAAAGAAAUGGCGCUGGCUGCAGAGGGGUUCCGAGAAUGCCCCAUGUGGUGUGGCACCUUCUUCACGUUCUUUAAGGCCUCUUCGGCCUGCUCUUGUUCCAUUGCGGCAACCAUGUCUUUGUAUGCUUUCCUGGCUUCCUCGGAUCUUUUUGGUAGAUGCGUUCCUGAAAACUGACAAGCUCUUGAAGAAGCAGAGUCACACAUUCAUCAAUCUCUUUACAAAGAACCUGAUUGCAGUACCUGUAAAGGAAAACAAAACCAGGCAAAAAGUGUUAACUCAAAAACAAUAGUAUAAAGAAAGGGAACAGGAGGAUCAAGAUGGCAAAAGAGGAAGAUCCCAACCCAUCUCCUCCCACAGACACACUCAAAUUACAUCACACGGAACUGUCUCUGAGAAUGACCUGAAGAACAGCAGAAGAGCUCUUCUACAACUAAAGAGAAAAAGCCACACCAGAAAGAAAGAAUUCAUCUGCCAGGGCUUUAAUCAAUAAAAAAAGAUAAUCAUGAUGCUGAUGAUAUACCCAACUACCAAUUAACUAGUCAUCAUAAAGAUGUAUACCUAUGAACAUCUCAUAAUAAUCUGUUGGCUAAAAUGCCACAACUACUUUUGCAAAACAGAUUUAAAUCCUUAUUUAUCUUGAAAAAUAAACAUCCCCAGACUGUGGUUUACCUUUUUAA
Molecule: long non-coding RNA, 897 nt
Organism: Suricata suricatta (meerkat)
Lineage: Eukaryota; Metazoa; Chordata; Mammalia; Carnivora; Herpestidae
Exons: 6
Source: RefSeq, a predicted model, not a curated record